This 454-nucleotide ribosomal RNA is filed under the name Globigerinoides sacculifer. RNAcentral describes it as "bacterial SSU rRNA". It matches the Rfam family "Eukaryotic small subunit ribosomal RNA", at positions 1208 to 1455 of the family's 1831-position model. The record is from RNAcentral. Lineage: Eukaryota; Foraminifera; Rotaliida; Globigerinidae.
GGAAAUCUUACCAGGUCCAGACAUAUGGAGGAUUGACAGACAGUUAACCAAAACGCAGCAGCUAGUUUAACAAAACUAACAGCUCUUUCAAGAUUAUGUGGUAGGUGGUGCAUGGCCGUUCUUAGUUCGUGAAGUGAUUCGUUCGCCCAAUCGCAUUUCCAAACAACUAACAACUCAGAAUGCUGGGCAAUAGGACGUUUAAAGUGGCUCCUUACACCUUACAAAGGAAUGGCUGAUGAGAAACAACUCGAUCCGCUCAGCGUUCUAUUGGAAUGCAACGGACGUGAUUGCAAGCUUUUGUUUUGAGUUGCGGUUUUACUGAAAGACUCUACAAUCCGCAAACUUCAAUGAUCUGAAGUAGAAAACCUACAUGCUACAGUGAGAUAUUGUGGAUAAACUUAAGCGACCGCUCCAACAUUGUGUUUUUUUAAAACUGAUGAAGGUUGCGGCAAUA